Molecule: non-coding RNA, 681 nt
Organism: Apodemus sylvaticus (European woodmouse)
Lineage: Eukaryota; Metazoa; Chordata; Mammalia; Rodentia; Muridae
Source: the annotation of a RefSeq genome assembly
UCCUACAUCUUGCUAGAAAUCAGAGUGUUAGGAACCCUUGUUCCAACCCAGAAAAGUCUUUUGCAGGAGAGCUCCAGAUCCCGUGACCUUGGCCAUCUGCAACAGGAAGAAAAGAUGCUCCUGAAAUUCUCUGUAUUGUUCCUUUGGAAUCAAAUGACUCGUGUGGGCACCCAACAGCUGGAGCAGAGUCCUCAGUUUCUGAAUAUCCAGGAGGGGCAAGAUUUCACUGCAUACUGCAACUCCUCAAGCACUUUCCCCCAACUUUACUGGUACCGACAGGUCCCCGGGGAAGGUCCUGUCAUCCUGAUGACGUUAGUCAAGAGUGGAGAAGUAAAGGGGCAGAAGAGGAUAAUUGCUAAGUUUGGUGAAGCAAGAAAGAACAGCUCCCUGUUUAUCAUCAGAGCCCAGCCUAGAGAUGCAGGCACCUACUUCUGUGCAGGAACACACUGCUCUUGUGGCCUUUGCUACCUGCCCCCAAACCCUGCAGCUGCAGGCUCUCACCACACUGCUUUCAUGAACCUUUUAGUUCCUCCUCCCCAGCUAUGGGCACGAACAAUGAUGGCAACCCAACCUCUCCUUGCCUCAUGGACCCAUUUUUUUUCUGCCUUUCUAGAAAACAUGGACCACAAACAUUUCUUCAAGACGAGGCUGUGCAUGUGGCCUCCUUUUAAACAUCAGUAA